Long non-coding RNA from Ctenopharyngodon idella (grass carp), 2770 nucleotides. RefSeq lists it as uncharacterized. The transcript is spliced from 2 exons. NCBI's taxonomy places the organism in Eukaryota, Metazoa, Chordata, Actinopteri, Cypriniformes, Xenocyprididae. The record is from RefSeq and is a predicted model, not a curated record.
UAUUGCACAAAUAAGGACAUUAAUUAAUGCUUCUUUAAAUCUGUUAGACAUUCAUCUUGGAGUCACAAACAGAAGUGACUUAUUUAAAGGUCAAGUAGUCCUAUUUUUGUCUUGUUUUUUCAUUAAAUUUUUUAAACAUCCUUAUAUCAAUAUAAAUUAUUUGAGAAGCAAAAUUGCAUUAGAAACUAAAGUAACUUUAAUUUUAUUGCUCCAUUACUUUAAGAUUUAAAUCUCAUUCGGGAUUAAGUGAGGAGGAUAAAAAAAUAACCUGUGGCUAACUGAAUAAAGAAAUCACUAUGAUGACCUGACCUGACACUGUGAUGUCAGGCCUAUAAAUAACUGGCAAAAGUGGUAGGCAAGAGGGCGUGUUAGUCCAGGACAAUGGGGAUUUCUACUUGACUUUCUUAUGUGAGAGGAGGUAUUGUUUUCACAAAAGAGGCAUACAGGAGUGGUGACCGUUACUGUGCUCUUCCCAAGUGGUGUCAGUGGUUCGCUUCUGGUCUAAGAGGAAUUUCAUUGGUGGGAGCUCAUCAUCGCUGUCCUCCAUGUCCAGAUCAGCUCCAUCAGUGAUGUACAUCUCUUUGUAUGUCCCUCUAUCUAAACAGAGGCAGGACUCACAUUAAAAAUCAGUGUGGGUAAAAACAAUGUCUAGUUAUGUAAACUAUUUAAAUAUAAGAAAGGAAUAAUAAUAAAAUUUACAGUAUGGUUGUGCUGCACAUUAUCACUAUUUACAUGCAUUAACAAUCAUCAUUACUUUUACAGCAUUUACUAAUAUUGUUUGGUAACACUUUAUUUUAGGGUCUUUUAACUAGUUGCUUAUUAGCAUGCAUAUUACUAGAAUAUUAGCUAUUUAUUAGUACUUAAGCACAUAUUAAUGCCUUAUUCUGCAUGAUCUUAUUCUACAUUCUUAAUCCUACCCAAUACCUAAACUUAACAACUACCUUACCAACUAUUAAUAAGCAGUAAAUUAGGAGUUUAUUGAGGGAAAAGUUAUAGUUGAUAGUUUAUAUGUGUUCCCUAUAUACUAAAGUGUUACCUAUUGUUUAAUGUAAUUUCUACAUAUACUAUUUUGAACAUUAAAAGGGGCUUCAGGGUGAUACAAAACCCCUCUGUGUCAGAGUCUUGAUGAACCUGUCAGGGUUUAUUUUGUGAUGAUGACAGGCUGAAUGCAGGCUACAUUAUCUUGUUUAUUACCGCCGUCUAAUUAAAUUAAUAUGUGGACAUGAAAUAUUGAUUUUAUGUUUUAAAACAGAUUUUUUGCUUAAUAUUAUUGAGGAAAAAGUUUUUUUUUUUUUCAGGAUACUUAGAUGAAUAAAUUCAAAUGAACAGCAUUUAUUUGAAAUAGAAAUCUUUUGUAACAAUGUCUUUACUGUCACUUUUGAUUAAUUUAAUGCAUCCUUGCUGAACAGAUAUUUAAAGAAAAAGACUUUACUUACCUUGAAGGCCAUGUUUCUAGCAUCUGUAAAACCGCAUUCUUCCAUCUUAAAAAUAUAUCUAAACUACGACAUAUGCUCUCAAUGACAAAUGCAGAACAGUUAGCUCAUGCGUUCAUGACCUCAAGGCUAGAUUACUGUAACGCUCUACUGGGUGGUUGUUCCACUCGCCUGUUAAACAAACUACAGCUCGUACAAAAUGCAGCAGCUAGAGUUCUUACUAGAACUAGGAAGUAUGACCAUAUUAGCCCAGUUCUGUCAACACUGCAUUGGCUUCCUGUUAAACAUCGUAUAGAUUUUAAAAUCUUGCUAAUUAGUUACAAAGCACUAAAUGGUUUAGCUCCCCAGUACCUGCGCAAGCUCUUAAUGCAUUAUAGUCCUUCACGUCUAUUGCGAUCUCAGAAUUCAGGCCAGCUGAUAAUACCUAGAAUAUCAAAAUCAACUGCAGGCGGUUCUCCUAUUUGGCACCUAAACUCUGGAACAAUCUUCCUAGCAUUGUUCGGGAAGCAGACACACUCUGUCAGUUUAAAUCUAGACUAAAAACGCAUCUCUUUAACCUGGCAUACACAUAACACAUUAUCAAUUCAUUUUUUCAAAUCUGUUAAAGGAUUAUUAGGCUGCAUAAAUUAGGUCAGCCGGAACCGGGAACACUUCCUAUAACACCAGAUGUACUCAUUACAUCAGAAGAAGAAUGGCAUCUACGCUAAUAUUAGACUUUCUGUUUAUCCCGAGGUUUACCAUAGUCAACCGGUCCGGGCCGUAUCCAGGUGAGAUUGAGGACCUACGCCUUGACACGACCACAACGCACCCCUGAAGUAUCAGCAGAGAUUGAGUCAACUAGAUCAUCCAUUGUGAAGGCCUCAUCGACACAACAGCCAGUGGCACAGUUCCUCAACAAACCGUCCAUACCGGCGUGAUGAAUACGAUCCUCAACUGGAUUGAACUGGAAUAAAUACUUUGAAUAUUGCGAUCCUAUCGGGCUUGUGAUAGCUACCUGAAUCGUAACAAAGCACUGUUUGCCAGAGGAGAACUGGCCCCCCGACUAAGCCUGGUUUCUCCCAAGGUUUUUUUCUCCAUUUUAACACCUAUUUGCCACCUGUUUGCCACCCGAUGUCACCUGUUGGAGUUUGGGUUCCUUGCCGCUGUCGCCUUUGGCUUGCUUAGUUGGGGACACUUGACAUUUGAUAUUCAACAGUGCUUUGAUCUGCCUGCAUUGACACCAUUUUCUUUAAGAGCUGCUGUGCAGCCAAAAUUAUAUACCAGUUAUCGCUGUAAAGCUGCUUUGACACAAUCUGCAUUGUAAAAAGUGCUAUAUAAAUAAAGGUGACUUGACUUGA